RNAcentral lists this ribosomal RNA (253 nucleotides) under uncultured bacterium. RNAcentral describes it as "partial 16S ribosomal RNA". It matches the Rfam family "Bacterial small subunit ribosomal RNA", at positions 524 to 776 of the family's 1533-position model. The record is from RNAcentral.
UACGUAGGGUGCGAGCGUUGUCCGGAAUUAUUGGGCGUAAAGAGCUCGUAGGCGGUUUGUCGCGUCGACUGUGAAAACUGGGGGCUUAACUCUCAGCUUGCAGUUGAUACGGGCAGACUUGAGUUCGGUAGGGGAGACUGGAAUUCCUGGUGUAGCGGUGGAAUGCGCAGAUAUCAGGAGGAACACCGAUGGCGAAGGCAGGUCUCUGGGCCGCAACUGACGCUGAGGAGCGAAAGCAUGGGGAGCGAACAGG